AUUGCUACAAAAAGCGGAACUAGACUAUGAAGUUACUGUUCGUGGUGGUACUGGGGGAGAUUCGGUUAGCGAACUUCGGAAACAGAUAGUUAAAUUACCUCCUAUAUUACAAAUAACAAACUUAUAAUUUUAAUCGUAUCUAUUCCAAACAUUAAAAUCACUACACUAAACCUAAAAUUAUUUCUAAUAGAACCCCACAAGACAGUCACAAUCUAUUCGUUAAUAAAAUCGUACAUGAAGUAUUUUAAACUAUUAAAUAAAUUAACUAUAAAGCAUAACUUAAACUAAUUUCAUCAAAAUGUUACUACGGUUAGGUAAAGUAAAUUAGAUAUGUAAAGUAUUUUCAAUUUUUAAUACCUACUUCAACUUCGUUGAUUAUAGCUAAAUAUACGUAAUUUUAAACAAAUUUUAAAAAGUCAACUAAAACUAGAUGCACUACAUGUAACUAAAACAAAUAAAUAAUGUAAACUAAACUUAAUAAUAUAAACUAAAAAACUAAACUAAAUAAUGUAAAGUACCCACUUACUACUACUACCCAUAACUAUUGCUUUUCUAUUUUCCAAUUAUUGGUCUACCCCAAUAGCUUAUAUGAUGAUGGUCUACCCCAUACAUCAUAUUCCUACCAUAUUAAAUAUAUUAUGACUAUCGGCCCUACACCGAUGGUUAUAAACGAAACUUGAUCGUGGUUCUACCCCAUAGAUCCCUUCUGUAUGCUAAAGGCCCUACACCUUUGGUAUUCUACGGAGCGGUGCAACUCCUUAAAUAAGCCUUUGCAAGAGCGGUUGAUUACUCUAUAAGUAAGCCUUAAAAUCACAAAUAUAACUUAUGUAUUUAUCCUUUCUAAUAUUCAAUCUAUCAAUAAUAGUUAUGUGUAGUUAGUAAUCGCUCAAUUUCAGCUUUAUCCUCUACCAGCCAUGACUGAACUGGGUGAGUGUUCUGUGCACUAUAGGCAGAAUACUCAGGUCGAAAGGACGCUGACGCACAGAUGUCUAGUGUGAUGUCGGCUAUUUAAUGUAAGGAAGAAUGAAAGGUGAGGGAUGAUUACAUUAUGAAUGAAGACGAAUGAAAGAGAAACUUAGAUCAGUUGUUAGCAAGAGCGAAAGCAGCGGAUUUUUCCUAGGAAAAAUCCUACGCUAAAAAGGGGGGUACUGUAACGUUGUACGUUAUAUUUUGAAUAUUUAAAAAUACUAGACUUGCUAUAUCUCGGCCGCGCGCCGCGAGCCGUGAGCCGUUGACGGGUGACGGAAACCGGUUCGGCGAACUAUCCCUCCUAUGAGGCGACGCGAGCAGAGCCGGCGGUCAAUCGCGAGACGGUCACUAGCACGACGCCGCGAGCCGAUACAGUCUACUACUACUACUGGUCUAUGUACAUUUUUAACUCGCGAUUUUUAUUGCAAAUAAAUUAACCUUUAAUAAACUAUUGUGCUUUUAAAAUAACUUUUAAAGUCAGUGUAUACCCCAGAUCGGGGUUCAAGUACCUGACUACCUCCAGUGCACCUACCGUAGUGCACCUACCCUAAGUGCACCUACCUACGCGCCUGUCUACCUACGUGGCUGUGUCUACCUACGUGCCUCUGCCUACCUACGUGCCUGUGCCUACCUGCGUGCCGCGCCUAUCUACGUGUCCUGCAUCUACCUACGCGUCCGGCAUCUACUAGCGCGCUGCACACCUACCCCGCCUGACCGCUGCCGAGCUGCCUGACUAUACAGGAUAGUGGUGUUUCUAUAGCGGGCUGGAACUUAACGCGUGCUCGAUAUUUCUAAACUCACUCCCGGCUCUGCCGAUAUCUUUUUAUAGAAUAUAGACUUAUACUAAAUUACUA
Long non-coding RNA from Helicoverpa zea (corn earworm), 1823 nucleotides. RefSeq lists it as uncharacterized. The record is from RefSeq and is a predicted model, not a curated record. The transcript is spliced from 2 exons. NCBI's taxonomy places the organism in Eukaryota, Metazoa, Arthropoda, Insecta, Lepidoptera, Noctuidae.